This 7881-nucleotide long non-coding RNA is filed under the name Capsicum annuum. Its description in RNAcentral is "long non-coding RNA (CANN_LNC001689)". Lineage: Eukaryota; Viridiplantae; Streptophyta; Magnoliopsida; Solanales; Solanaceae. The record is from RNAcentral.
CGAGCGGUAUAGGACAAUGUAUGUUCUCUUUCUUUCAAUUCCAAACAACUUAAAAUCUCGUCUAAAUAGUGUCAAAUAUUUUAUACAAGCUCUCCUCAAUAUUUCAAGACAUACAAUAAUUAUCCCCGUAUAUUUUUCAUUUUGUUAGUUCUUUUUUCUCUCGUUCUUUUAAUCUUUUCCCCAUUCCAUUAUGUUUUCAUAUCCAGACCUCUCCCGAGAAGCCCCACCUAAUUCCUUCUUCGGAUCCCUCAAUUUCCACUCUUCACUAUUUUCUCCAAUCCAGAUUCAAAAAAAUAAUUUUUCCCGGCUGUAAUGGCACCUUGUUUCUAAACAACUUAUUAACUAAAAUUUACUGCAGUAACUAAAUUAAUUUUCAACACAUCUAAUUACUCAUUUUAACGGGUGCGGGGUUGAUCAAGUUGGAGGAAAAAACAAUUGAAGAAUUUGCUCACUGGAUCUGAUCAAACUUUCUCAUUGUUUCUGAGCGGAACCAAUCAUGAAUUCCUUUUCUUUCGGCAUGCGUCUUAGGUUAGUAACCCAACCCCAAUUAAAACUCAUGUUUCUUGUGCUUGUUAUUGGAUCAAAUUUGCAAAAUAUUAUCUGGGUCAUUGAUUUUUUUUUGCUGAAAUUUUCUGAUUUUCAGUCUGAAGUUUUAGAUACGAGCUCCUCUCGAUUUGGAUUCAUUAUAUAUAAUUCACUCAAAAUAAUUUUCGUUUUUCAAAUCAUUUUCGUUUGCGGUAUUUCAAAUUUUCAAAUCGAGCUUUGAAGCUUUAGUGGUUGAUCAAUCAUAGAAAGAAGGAAGUAAAAGAAGAAAGAAGAAGGUAGAAGAAGCCAUUAAUGGCUGAAUCCCAGAAGGAAGAAGAACAAGCAGUAUGAUGAAUGGCCAGUUUGGAUAAUCUUAGUAAAGUUAGGCUAAUUUCUUUGCAGACAAAAUGACCGACGGGCGUAUCGCAUAAUUAUUCCAUAAUAUUAUCGUUAGGGAAUUUCGUCUUUGAAAGGUAAUUAUAAUCAAAGAACAGUUAAACUAUGAAAUUUCUAUUUUGUGAACCAAAAAAUUAAUAUUUCUUUAUACUAUAAUAUAUCAAAAUUGAUUGUACAAUUUAACAUUUACGUUACAGAAUAUUUAAUUUAAUAAAAGGGUGCUAAUCAAUAUAUAUAUAUAUAUACUAGUUCCACCCAGGCGCGUGCCAAGACGGGUAUUAUAUUUUUAUCUUUUAAUUAAUCUUAUUUAAUGAAAUAUUAAACAUGCUUUUUUGAUAAGUAUUCAUAAUUAUUUAAGUUAAUAAUUAUCUAAUUGAAUAAUUUAAAUUAAAAUAUUAUUUUUGAGAAAUAAAUAUAUUGUCAGAGAAUUAGAUAUAUAAAUAAUUCUUGAAGAUAAAUAAUUUUUGAAGAUAAGUAUAUAAAUAAUUUUGAUUCGCCAAAAAUAAUAAAUCAAAAAAUAUGAUACUUUUAUGAAUUUGUUAGUAUAGAUAAAAUAAAUUUAUUUUGAUGAAAAAUCUUUUUUUCUUCUUAUAGAAUUAUUUACUACAACAAAUAUUUUUAUCACUUCAAGUUUAUAUUAAAAUAAUUAGAACAUUAAUUUAGAGUCUUAACACAAAUGACGAAUAAGGACAUUAAAUAGUAAUUAAAUUACAUAAUACAUUACUCAUUUACUUGUCAUAUUUAUUUUCUUACACGCCCUUUAAAGAAUAAACUUUUCUUCCCAUUAUAAUUAUUAAUUUACUUUUUUGAUGUCCACUAAGAAAAAUAGUAGUAAAUAUAAGAUAAUGCCUAUUAAGUUGUCCUAUUUAGUACUUAUAUUUUUUAAAAAAAAUUAAAUAAGAUUUGUAAAAGAUUUCAACCGUGUAGUAAAAAAUUAUUGCAAACGUUAAUUUCAUGUUAAAAGGUAUUUUGACGUAAUUUUUUUUCAAGUUAAAGUGAUUGUUUUUAAUAAAUAAAAGAAGUUAUAAUUAAAAGGCAAUCCAAUAAAUUACAAGAGGAAACCAAUUAUAAAAGGCCAAGUGAAGAUGGCCUUAACAAAAAAAGGAGAGGGCAAAAAUAAAAAUAUACAAGAAAAGGAAAUCAUCAAUGCACUACAAAUUUGACAUGUACAAUAACUUUGCUUAAAAAAAAGUGAAAUGUCUAAAAAGUCCUUGUGAGGACUACCAAACUUGUGAUUCUCCCUUAUAUAUAAGUACUAGUCUCGGGGGGGCCGUGCUAAGCUCGGGGCCAACCUCAAGAUCUAAAAAGUGAAAUGUCUAAAAAGUCCUUGUGAGGACUACCAAACUUGUGAUUCUUCCUUAUAUAUAUAUGUAUAUAUAUAUAUAUGUAUAUAUGUAUGUAUGUAUACUAGGUGGGAAUACACUGGGUAUGCUGUUGUUGAUAUGUAGGACAUACAACAAUAAAUAAUGUAAAUACAAAGUAAGAAAACAUGAAUGAAUGCAAGAAGAUGAUUUCAAUCAAACCUAAAAUAAGAAGAAAAGUAGAAGUAGAAGAAAUUGACUCACAAUUUUUAACUUCAUAAUUAUAAGUAAAGUUUAGCCGUAUCUUUAACAUCUCAAUAAACAUGGCCGAUGAGAUAUAAGAACAAUAUAAAUUUUAAUAAUAGUUAAUUUUUUAUUUAGACGAAUAUGAAUCCUUGUGGGUUAUUGCAUAUAGAUUCUAAAUAUAAUUAUAAGAUGUAGUUCUAACCAAAUUGAUUCUUAUUUACCUAUGUACGUAAUUCUAAUAAGUUGACUAAAGAAUCCUAAUUAAUUUAAGUUAUUGAUAUUACAUGUUUUUAUAUUUGGAAAAUGUAAGAAGCCCUAAUAUUCACUUUGGAAUUAACUAAAAUUGAACUUACUAAAUCUUUCCUUGUAAUUGUUUGAGUUAUGUUAAAAUUCAAAAAUUUUAAAAAUAAUGUAAAUUUUACAUUUAGAUUAAUUAUUGUAGGGUGUAGGUUGGUAGAAUCCUAUUCAACUCCUCCUUUAAUAUUUUAUAUUAAAAACUUAAAGUACUUAAACUUUACCUUAUAUAGAAAUCUGAGUAUAUGAUGUAUAAUUCCUUCAUGUUAGGUUUCUUUAUCUUAAUCAAAUAAAAAUUAACAUGGAAUUUGUGAUGCUUUUUUAUUAAUUAAAAUUUAAAAUUUACGUGUGUGGUUUUCACUUGUUAAAGGACAAUUUUCUUAAACUUUUCUUACCAUAUAUUUUAAGACUCCUUUUUCAUGUACACAGGGAUAAAACAAAACCUACUAAUAACAAUUUACCAUAUAUAUUUGAAUUACUUAAUUUUUUAAUAAUUAAUUAAUAAUUAAAGAAAAUAACUGAAAAGAUAAUUUUAUCUAUUGCGGAGUCUUUUUAUGAAAGGCAAAGAGUUGAAUCACUUUUCUAAGGGUCUUCACACUUUUAAUAUACUAGUUUAGGUGUACGCGCUUCGCGCGUGUAUCUUAGUUUAAUGAAUUCAAUUUUAUAAAAUCAUUCAAGAUAAUGAUUUUUCAAAAAGUGUAUUGCAUUUUUUGUUUGUUAGCAUCUUCACAUUACAGCUGCUUUCAGCUAUUAUUCAAUUCUAUGAAAAAAGUAGAAAUUAGCCAACCGAAAAGCAAGUAUCUUACUUUAAACACAAGAAAAUUUAUAAAGAAGAGUAUAUUCUCUUUAGUCCUCCCUUGAGCCAUUUUCCUUAGCUCUUGUCUCUUUCUUUAAUCCUCUCAAUCUCUCUUUUCAACUUAUUUAAUUUCAUAUCAACACAAUUAUUAUUUUGUUUGAAUUCUUUAGGCUUGUUAGCUUCUUCAGGAAAUUCCUUAACUAAUCUGUUCAACCCAAUUAAUUUCUCAACUUCAUUGGCUGAUGUAUGAUAUUCAAUAUGUUGGGAAGAUUCCUCGAAAAAUAUUUUUGUCAACUAACAUUUAUAUUUAGGAUUUUAUUAUAGUAGGUAGAUAGAUUAACUCAAUUUACAAUGAAUAAUGUACUUGAUUUGUCUUCAAACCUAAUUAGUAAGCCCAAAAUUGAAAGAGUCGGCUAUAAUACUAAAUUUAUAUGUUCAUCAUUCAAACAAAAGUUAUGCAAAUCAAGAUUCAACACUUAUUAUAAGCUUAUAUUUAGAACUCAACCAAUAAGUUUAAUUAAUAAUCCAAGUAUAAUACCAAUGAAAUAGUUAAAUAACAUAAUCAAAACAAAGUCACAAUUACAUAAAGGAAGAAAAAAAAAAGAGAUAAACCUUUGAUAUUUUUGACCACUUUACUUGAUGGCGACAUAUUUAUUUCUUUCAAUUUUUGAUUAAAAAUUUCCUAUUGAAAGAGAAACACGAGAAAUUAUCAAAAGAGAAAAUUAUAUUGUCAGUUGUGGAUGAUUUAAUCAUAAUUUAUAUCGUAUAAUCUUUAAAGUUAUUAACUAAAAAGAAUAAAGAAAGACAGAGAAGAUGAUAAUUAAUUAGGACUACACACACAAAAAAAGAAAAAGACAACUUGAAUUAAUAACGAAAUAAGGAGAAAAAAUAAAAGUAGAGCUAUGUUUCUUGUAAAUUUGAUCCAAAAUAUAUUAAUUAAAUAGAAUUGUAAUUUUUAUUUUAACCAAUUAAUUAAAGUUUUUAAAGAUUUAUUUAAGAUAGAAUUUUUAAUUGAUUUAAAAUUCCUAAAUUUUAGCUAAAAAAGAAAAAGAAAAAGAUAACUUGAAUUAAUAACGAAAUAAGGAGAAAAAAUAGAAGUAGAGCUAUGUUUCUUGUAAAUUUGAUCCAAAAUAUAUUAAUUAAAUAGAAUUGUAGAUUUUUUUUUCUUUAUAUAACAUAAAAUUUUAAGUGAUUUAGAAGUGUUAAAUAUUAUGAAUUCUUACUUAAAUUAAAUAACCAAAUCAAAAGAAGUUAUACCUAAAAUAAAUUGGGAACAAAACUUUUAGCAAAAAGGAUUCUUACGUGAAGAUAAAAAAUGUCAAAAUAGUACUCACCAAUUAAUUAAUAUUUUUAAAGAUUUAUUUAAGAAACAACUUUUAAUUGAUUUAAAAUGCCUAAAUUUUAGCUAUAUAAUUCUAAUAAGGAAAGGUUUAAGAACUAAAUUUUAAUGAAUUUUUAAGUUAUAAAUUUUUUUUAAAAUGUAAAAAUAUAUUUACGUCUAUUGCAUAUUUUUGUAAUGAAGGAUAAAAAGUUUAAAUUAUUUUUUUCAAGGGUUUUUACACUUUUAAUAUAUUAUAAAUAUAGAUAUAUAUAAAGGAGAAUUAAGACAGUUGUGAUGUGGCAUGUCCCUCCGUUCACAUUUAUCUUUUUUCUCUUUUUUUGACAAUUUUUUUAAUUUUUUUCUUUGUUUUCUACUCAAAAGGUUUAAACAAUAUACUAUCCAUUCAUUGAGUGUAAUUAAUAAUUAUUGUAAUUAAGCUAAUGAAAUUGAAAAGUCCCCAUCAACUAUAUAGUCUGCUGUCCAUCGUGCCAUCUCCCCUUUAUUAAUUUUGAGAAUAUUAAUUUUAUUACAUACUCAGAAAAAUCAACCGUCAUCUUUAAUAAUCUUAAGCAUACCACUUUAUUCUAUUAAUUACACCUUUUCCUUUUCUCUGAAUCUGUUUCAGAUAGAAUUUUUUAUAUACCAGGUAAAUGAGAACAAAUUGAACAUAGGUCUAAUUAUCUAAAAUGAUUUGUUGGAAUUUAUUAGCACAUGGAAAAGAUAUCUUAUUUCUCUUAUAAUUUAGGUAGUUGAAUGGUAUUUAAUGCAUCGUGCAAGUAUUCUUUUUAUUUUUUUGUUUUUAUUUCUUCUUUGUUCAUUAUUUUAUUUUCGAAAUGUUUUUAACUUCGUUUAUCUAUCUUUUUUUUUCGAAAGAAAAUUUUAUUGUGAUUUUUCUUAAGUUUUUGAUGAAUUAGAACGUUAUCGCCCGCAAGUUAUCAACAUUUUAUCAUUAAUUCAUGGUGUCAAUAGACAACAUUUAUUUGUUGCGCUUAUCUACAGAUAGCGUACGGGAUUGGCCAUCUGCUAGGAAAAAAUAGAUGGAUGAAUAAGUUCAUACUGUCCUUGAGAUCGUGAAUUGAUUUUGUUACUAUCAGUAUUUUGUGCUUUAAAUUAUGCUUUGAGUGAUAAAUAAUUAAAUGAUCUUAGUAUAGGUGCUUCAACUAUGAAUGACGGGGUCUUUGCAGGGAGUUAUUAUUUUUCUACUACUCCAAAUAGAAUUUUUCGUCAUUCACCUUCUUCCACAAAUUUUCUACUAAUAGAAUUUUUUUCAUCAUUCACCUUUUUUCACAAUUGUAAAUGCUAAUUAGGAUUUGCAUUUAAAAUACAUAAUCUGUCUUAGAAUAAAAUAUUGUUAUUAUGUAUAAAGCUGGACAUAAAUAAAGUGAUAUAUGACACUUUUCUACGACUAACGUUACUAUUUAUUUUUUUGUGAAAUUUUUGAUAGUUUUCGUCAAUUUCUUCCUUCAAAUAUUAUUUAAAUAAAGGCUUCUUGUAUGCAUUGAUUGUUAAAGAAAAAAAUAUCUCUGUGUUGAAUUUUAAGGUAAAGAAAUUGUUAUUUUCCUGCAUUAAAACUAUUCUAAAUUCAUUAGAAUUAUACAUUCAGAAAAGAAUUGAAUUGAAUAAUAAAAUUUCAGUUUCAAAAACCCCUCAUUUUCGGAUACUAAAUGAAAGAAAAAUGAUGAUUUUGCAAAUUAUAUUAUGAUACAAUAAAAAGAUUGAAGAAGUGAACAAAGAAACAAAUGAUUGGUGUUGUGAAGGCGAAGUUGCAGGUUGGCAUCGACAAACCAAUAAGUGAUCCACAUGAAGCAUCAAUUAUUCAGUAUCACCGGGCUUUUCUUUUUUGACUUUUAUUUUGGUGAAUUAUUCUUUAACAUGGUGAGCACAUAUCUAAAAGUACUGUUGAUCUUUAUUUAUAAGUCUGGAAGUGUGAAAUUGCGUUUGAAAUGUAUCAUUUCUGUGUGGUACCUAUAUUGCUUGAACCUUUUAAAAUUAUUGAUGUAUCCUCCAAAGUGUACUAUUUCUGAAGAAUUCAUAUAUAGGCGUUGAUAUUUUUAAAGAGUUUAAUUAACAUAAUGUGGUAUUGUGUAGCCUCUUUUCAGAUUUGAUUUGUGCAAGUAAUUUCAAAUAUACAUAUCAAUGAGAUGAGUGUGUGAAUAUUUGUGGUAAGUUAAAAUUGCACUGUAACGAAAAAAGUGACUAUUCACUUCGGUAUAUGUAAUUGAAAUUGUGCCAAGUAUGUCUGUCAAAAAGAGCGAAAAUCGUUUUCCCUGAAGUUUGUCUUAAAAAUCAAUCUCCAACUAUCAACAAUAAUCAACCUCCCCCCUUUAUCCCAUGCAAUAUCCAUUUUUUCCUUGUAAUAUGAUAAUGUUUAUGGACAUUGCAUAAAAACAUAAACAUUUAUCUUCAUUUUUAAAAAAAAAUCAUAUAACAAAAUCUUCAUAAAAACAUAAACAUUAUCUUCUAAGAAAAAAAUAACUAAUUAAGUAUAUAAGCUAAUGAUGAUCUUUAUGAAGUAAAUUAGCAUGAUAUAAGAAAAUAAGUUUUAUUAAUAAUAAUCAAAAAUAUAAUAUUUAUUUUACAAGUGAAAAUAAUAAGUAAUACUAAUUUUAUAAACAUAUUUCAAUGCAAAAAAUACGAACAAUAAAUGAAAGAGAUUAGUCUCUAGUAAAACCUUUAUUACAUAAAAUGGAGCCCACGUCAAAGGUGUUACGCCAUCUAAAAUAAUUGACAAAGGGUAUCAUGUUAGCUAAAAAGUUUGACAAAAAUACGCUAAAAUUUAGUUUAAGGGGUAAUAGGACCCCCGUGUAGUUGACGUGUGUCGUAGCAAAUCUGAUCAUAGUUCGGGGGCACUAGAUGUUUUUUUCGAAUAAAAAUAAGGUCAAAUUUUAAAGAUUAUAUUAUUUAUAUAAAUUAUAAAAUAUGUAAUACUCUAUUAAUGACAAUCACAACUUAUUUACUGAUAUAGACAAUAGAUAAUAUCGUUUCUUAUCACUUGAUCCUCA